Molecule: long non-coding RNA, 837 nt
Organism: Portunus trituberculatus (swimming crab)
Lineage: Eukaryota; Metazoa; Arthropoda; Malacostraca; Decapoda; Portunidae
Exons: 3
Source: RefSeq, a predicted model, not a curated record
ACCGCAGAUCGGUGUUGUUUUUGGGUCUUGGCACCGUCUGCCGCCACGGUAAAAUCCACACAUAUUGUUCCCGAGGUAUAAGAUAUUGAUAGUUUCUCAUUUCCGGUAGACAUACAUUAAGAAAAUAUUUUGUUUUUAUUUCAAAGUGAUAAUAAUUUACCACAAUGUCCUUAUUAUUGUGAUAUGAGUUUUUAUUUUUUUUAAAUGUAGAAAACGUAUUGGUAUCAUAGUAGCGGAAAACACAUCGCGUAGAGCACUCUUCACUCUUCAGAGAAGUGUUACAUCGCUCUGCUUACAGAUUACGAGUCAACUUUUACGUUUCUCUGCAUUAGCUACAAGUCCAGCUCGAUCCUAAUAGUGACGUCACACCAGCCGAUGUCCAGCACGAAGCCAUGGGAGGAGUGCAAAGCGGACCUGUUAGCGGAAGGCAAUUGUCCCAGAUAAACACACAUAAACUGGUCGUAGGUGUGUGGGAAGGCGAUGAGGCAAAGGUGAAGUCUGCUCUCUCCAGGGGUGGGGGUGCCCGUACCUCUAUCACCGUCCCCAAUUCGAGUGGGUCGUCGUGGUGUCUGGUGUGUUCCGCUGCCAGCAGGAACCACGACCACCUGCUGCCUCACCUACAUCAGGCAGGGCUGAACAUAGAAGGUAGAGGCACCGUUGACAGGACACCGCUGAUGCUGGCUGCUGAGAGGGGCCACACUCGCACGGUGAAGAAACUGCUAUCUCUCGGCGCGAACCCUUUAGCAACUAAUAGUACAGGUGAGGCUGUGCUGGUGGUGGUGAUGAUAGAGGUGUUGUUCGCGAUGGUACUUGUAGCUGUGGUGGUGUGUGGUGUUG